Molecule: ribosomal RNA, 310 nt
Filed under: Phoenix dactylifera (date palm)
Lineage: Eukaryota; Viridiplantae; Streptophyta; Magnoliopsida; Arecales; Arecaceae
Description: bacterial SSU rRNA
Rfam family: Bacterial small subunit ribosomal RNA
Source: RNAcentral
AACUGGAGGAAGGUGGGGAUGACGUCAGGUCCUCAUGGCCCUUAUGGGUAGGGCUACACACGUCAUACAAUGGCCGGUACAGAGGGCUGCCAACCCGCGAGGGGGAGCCAAUCCCAGAAAACCGGUCGUAGUCCGGAUCGCAGUCUGCAACUCGACUGCGUGAAGUCGGAAUCGCUAGUAAUCGCGGAUCAGCAUGCCGCGGUGAAUACGUUCCCGGGUCUUGUACACACCGCCCGUCACACCAUGGGAGCGGGUUCCGCCAGAAGUAGUUAGCCUAACCGCAAGGAGGGCGAUUACCACGGCAGGGUUC